GUCUCAGUAUCCUACAAAGGCCAAGAAUAUAUAUUGAUAAAUUUAUUCUAACACAUAUUCUACUUUCUAGCAUAAAGUCACCCACUAAUUUAAAUUUGAAAACCUAGAUACUCUGAUUACCUCAUAAUAAAAAUCACUUGAGAUGCACUGCCGUGGGUUUACACAGCCUUCAACUUUUCAAAGUAUUUUUCGACCCGUCACCAUGCUAGAAGGCACUGAUGUCACAAAUACCAGUCUACAUUUGGUUCUGGAAAAAGAUUUUCAUGUACAUAUUUUGUCCAAAUAUUACUAUUUGUUUCAUGAAAGUCAGAGCUAAGACUUU
This 322-nucleotide long non-coding RNA is filed under the name Homo sapiens (human). RNAcentral's name for it is "non-protein coding lnc-NANOS1-8:1". Lineage: Eukaryota; Metazoa; Chordata; Mammalia; Primates; Hominidae. The record is from RNAcentral.